AUGUCUGUUUUCAAACUGCCAAAGGGAAUACGCAAGGCAAUCACUGAUGAAAUAUCUGGUUUCUGGUGGGGAGAUACUGAUGAUCAGAAGAAAAUGCAUUGGUUUGCGUGGUGGAAGUUGUGCAUCCCGAAGCAGAAGGGGGGAUUGGGGUUUAGGGACCUUCACAGUUUUAAUCUUGCUAUGUUAGCAAAACAGUGUUGGAGACUUCUCCAGAACCCGGACUCUUUGUGUGCUCAGGUCCUUAGCGCUAAAUAUUAUCCAGAUGGAAAUUUGCUAAAAGCUGGUCCAAAAAAGGGGUCGUCCUAUACAUGGCAAAGUAUCAUGGCAGGC
Molecule: ribosomal RNA, 330 nt
Filed under: Triticum aestivum (bread wheat)
Lineage: Eukaryota; Viridiplantae; Streptophyta; Magnoliopsida; Poales; Poaceae
Description: partial small subunit ribosomal RNA
Source: RNAcentral